GGACCGGUGCGUUUCAUCCAGGAGCCAAGAGUCUCCUUCAAAGUCUCUUUCUGUCUCCGCUCUGGCCCGCCACGGUCCUGCCCGCUGUUGUGGCUGCCUAGCUUCCUGUGGGAUGCUCUGCCCAAGAACAGACACCCUGCAGGGCUGCCAAGCUGGACAGAGGACCAGACCCAGCAGGCCAGCAUCCCUGCCUUUUAUUACCCUGCCGCCAGCAAGAAGCCCUCCUUCUCAGGCACUGCUGUUUAAGAGCUGGAGCCUUUGAGUAACAGGAAUAUCUUCAACAAAGACUUCUACACCGGUUUGUUAACAAACUCCCAGAACUUUGAAUUGCCAGGACAUCAUUCUGAUCAUUGAGAGAGUCUCCAAAGUACCCAUGCCUGUUUACUGGACCUCCAGAUUAAGACAGGCCUAGAGGAGAGCACACCAUCUUGAUGCCUGGGGCUGUCUGCUGAGAAACCUGAGCCUGCUCUGCCAGCAGCCAGAGGACCUGAGAGGGAAUGCCCUUAGAAGUGGCCUUCAACUAAUAACAACUGGUAGCAUGGUAACAGGUUCCAGCUUCCUCACCAAUGAGGUAGGACAGCUCUGAGGAUGAAGUCACUAGCCAUGGAAGCAGCUGACCUUCAACACACCCUGAAGAGUUCAGGAUGGAGAUCAGGAAUAAAGUACUCUGUUCUCUGGCAAAAACUGGCAGAACAGACCUUCAGAUAGUUAGACAUUUUAAAAGAAGAUGUUAUAAACCCAAAUUAUUGCAUCUUCUCA
Long non-coding RNA from Bos taurus (domestic cattle), 759 nucleotides. Lineage: Eukaryota; Metazoa; Chordata; Mammalia; Artiodactyla; Bovidae. The record is from Ensembl.